Molecule: small nuclear RNA, 134 nt
Filed under: Colius striatus (speckled mousebird)
Lineage: Eukaryota; Metazoa; Chordata; Aves; Coliiformes; Coliidae
Description: U2 spliceosomal RNA
Rfam family: U2 spliceosomal RNA
About the family: U2 is a small nuclear RNA (snRNA) component of the spliceosome (involved in pre-mRNA splicing). Complementary binding between U2 snRNA (in an area lying towards the 5' end but 3' to hairpin I) and the branchpoint sequence (BPS) of the intron results the bulging out of an unpaired adenosine, on the BPS, which initiates a nucleophilic attack at the intronic 5' splice site, thus starting the first of two transesterification reactions that mediate splicing.
Source: Rfam by way of RNAcentral
AUCACUUCUUGGCCUUUUGACUAAGAUCAAGUGUAGUAUCAGUUGAAGUCUUGGCAUGUCCUCUCUUUGGGGGCUCUGCCCUGCCUUGGCAGCAGGCUGGGCUCAGUGACCUCCUAGCCCUGUAACUACCAUCA